RNAcentral lists this long non-coding RNA (2485 nucleotides) under Homo sapiens (human). Its description in RNAcentral is "HSALNT0338667". Lineage: Eukaryota; Metazoa; Chordata; Mammalia; Primates; Hominidae. The record is from RNAcentral.
GGGGCUGAACCGGCUGAGCUUCCCAGGGACGCCCCGACCCAAGCCCUGCAGUCCGCGCGCGUCAGGGGUGUGCGCUGGAGGCCGGAAAGUCGAAUAUCACUUCCCAUCCUGCAUUUGAUGUGCUUUGGGGUUGAAAAAGCCCUUAUGUGGUAAAAAAAAAAAAAAAAAAAAAGUCAGAAAAGUGGCAAAAGUCUUCAACGGCCUGAAAAAGGCCGAGACAGGAACUGAGAAGCUGGCAGUAGGUCCUGCUACUGCUGCAGGGGCGGCGGGCGCCCUGGGUGGGCCACGAGGCAGGGACAGCCGAGGCUCCGCGCUCACCCCACCCGCAAGGGGCCAAGCGCAGACUCAGGGGAGCCAGAGGGGCCGGACCGCUGAGCAAGGGCUGGGGAAGGAUCCCACGCUUGGAUACUUGGGAGUGAAGAUGUGUUAUUUCACCCACCGACUCGUUCCACACGACCAAGGCCUGUGCCUGCCCUGAGGGCGAGUUGGUUGAGCCUUGUACAGACAACUCUCAGAGCGUGGGCCUGGGCCGAACCUUUCCCUGUGAGCAGCAGCAUCAGCGUCUAGAACGACGGCCCUCCCGGUCCACGGUGGAAGGUGCGGAGCUCCCGUGGUGUGCUGGCAGCGAUUCGCAGAAGGGAGAUGGAGGGCCACAGGGCAGGUGCUCGCACGGAGUCAUCGAGGUCCAGGGACACCUUCCUCCCAGAAACAGAAAACCUGCACGCUGUUGACAGUCGCUACAUUUAAUGAAGUAUCCCAACGCUUCGUUGGUCUCGGGAAUACAGCUCCACACGCAAAAAAGUAAAAAGUGCAGCAAAACAACAACACAACGAUCAACCUCAAAGGAAACAACAAAAUUAAUUUUAUCAAAAUGCAAUGUGUACAUUAAGACUAAAGUUAUGGAUUGUUCCUGUUUGGCAUAGAAAUGUGAUGACUAUUAACAGAAAGGGGAAAAAGAUUUGCCCCCUAUCCAUCAUCAGACAGACAGACUUCUCUUACUAAACCCCUUAUGUGGAGUGGGAUGAGUGACUAUUUCCUGCAGAAAGAUCAUGCAACUUAAAGCAAAAAAACAAACCAACCAACAAAAAAAACAAAAACAAAAACAAACUUGUGCAUAUUACACAUGACUGAUUAUUGGGUGUGCCUGGCAAGACUAAAUGCUGAUUCUUUUCAGCGUUUGAAUUAAAAGAAUUCCAUAUACAGCAGAUAGAUAACAGUAACAAAUAUUGAACUAAAAUCGCUGGCAACAUUAUAUAUUUAAGGUUCCAUCAUAAACUCCUCAUUAUUCUCUAUGUAUUCUGUUACAGCUUCUAGCAUGCUUCAUCGUGACAACCUAAUAUUAUCAAGCCUCAUAUUUUCACAGGAUUAUAUACUUAUUAGAUGUUUGUUUCUAGAAAUUAUACUACAUAUGUGUUACUAGGCAUAUUUAAAAUAAGUUACUGGUAAAUGGAGUUGCAUUCUAUAGUCACUUAAUAAAUAUUAACAAAAUAUUUAUAACUGGAACCUUAAUGAAAUGUAUCAUCAAAUCAGGUAAAAGCAACUUGUCCGCAGUUACCAAAGCCUAGAUACGCGUUAGAUGCGCCUUUUCCGGCCUGUGCGUCUGCUCUGGUUCCUCUCAGGCAGCAAAGCUGGGGAAGGAAGCUCAGGCAGGAGCCUCCCCGACGCCACAGCGGCACAAGCAGCAGCUAAAGCACCGCACUUUGCUCUGCUAACCUUUUACUUAAAUGAGGUUUUGCCAAAUCCACAUCUGGAACCGCGUCACACCCAUUUGCAAGGAUGUUUGUUCUUUGAUGAAACUGCAUCUCUACUGCACAUGAGGGCUUUCAUUGUAGGACAAGAGGAGAGUUCGUUUAUUUUUGUAACUGUUUUACAUGUUCCGAUUAGUUAAUCGGUAGCUUAUGUCAUUUGCUAUGCCUGUUGUCUUCUAAUCUCUCCUUACUAAAACAUUACUUCAAAUUUGAAUUGACCCUUGUUUAUAAUUUAUUUAAUGGGAUUUGUGUGUCAUUGUAGAGCAACUCUAAUUCAAGAAUAGUGACAACUUUAAGCACCAAAAGUAGUUCAGCAAUAUUUUUCAUGCUUAAUUUAUCAUAAUGGCUUAUGCACAGUAUUCCCUUCAACUCCAUAUACACAUAAAUACAAUAAGUAAUUACAUUUUAUAUGUAAACGUCAUUCUUUUUAAACAAACAAGAAAAAGCAAUGUAAUGGCAUGCCCAAUUUUCACUCCACAUAAAGUCUCAUAUAUCACCAAACUGGUUUCCUCUAGUGGGUUAGAUGUUCAUCUCUGAGUUCCAUUGAUAUUUAUCCUCUGAAGGCACUUGGGUUUGGGGUUGCUGGCAGGAGGUGAAGAACCAUCAGAGUUAAGGUCAAGGGACAGGAGGUGCUGCUAGAGAGAGAAGCCACAAGGACCACAAUGAACUGAGGUGUCUAGGGACCAUGGCAUGCACAGGGCAUUGCCGGAAAUGCAGCAAAUCUUGUUUAAAUAUCU